UGGGGAAUAUUGCACAAUGGGCGCAAGCCUGAUGCAGCCAUGCCGCGUGUAUGAAGAAGGCCUUCGGGUUGUAAAGUACUUUCAGCGGGGAGGAAGGGAGUAAAGUUAAUACCUUUGCUCAUUGACGUUACCCGCAGAAGAAGCACCGGCUAACUCCGUGCCAGCAGCCGCGGUAAUACGGAGGGUGCAAGCGUUAAUCGGAAUUACUGGGCGUAAAGCGCACGCAGGCGGUUUGUUAAGUCAGAUGUGAAAUCCCCGGGCUCAACCUGGGAACUGCAUCUGAUACUGGCAAGCGUGAGUCUCGGAGAGGGGGGUAGAAUUCCAGGUGUAGCGGUGAAAUGCGUAGAGAUCUGGAGGAAUACCGGUGGCGAAGGCGGCCCCCUGGACGAAGACUGACGCUCAGGUGCGAAAGCGUGGGGAGCAAACAGG
RNAcentral lists this ribosomal RNA (429 nucleotides) under Chloroflexota bacterium. RNAcentral describes it as "Chloroflexi bacterium partial 16S ribosomal RNA". It matches the Rfam family "Bacterial small subunit ribosomal RNA", at positions 355 to 776 of the family's 1533-position model. Lineage: Bacteria; Bacillati; Chloroflexota. The record is from RNAcentral.